Molecule: non-coding RNA, 24 nt
Filed under: Arabidopsis thaliana (thale cress)
Lineage: Eukaryota; Viridiplantae; Streptophyta; Magnoliopsida; Brassicales; Brassicaceae
Source: RNAcentral
CGGAUGUCCACAUGAGUACGGCGU